Molecule: ribosomal RNA, 448 nt
Filed under: uncultured bacterium
Lineage: Bacteria
Description: partial 16S ribosomal RNA
Rfam family: Bacterial small subunit ribosomal RNA
Source: RNAcentral
CCAGACUCCUACGGGAGGCAGCAGUGGGGGAUAUUGCACAAUGGGGGAAACCCUGAUGCAGCGACGCCGCGUGGGUGAAGGAGCGUUUCGGCGCGUAAAGCCCUAUCGGCAGGGAAGAAGGAGGACGGUACCUGACUAAGAAGCCCCGGCUAACUACGUGCCAGCAGCCGCGGUAAUACGUAGGGGGCAAGCGUUAUCCGGAUUCACUGGGUGUAAAGGGAGCGUAGACGGCCAUGCAAGCCAGGAGUGAAAGCCCGGGGCCCAACCCCGGGACUGCUCUUGGAACUGCGCGGCUGGAGUGCAGGAGGGGCAGGCGGAAUUCCUGGUGUAGCGGUGAAAUGCGUAGAUAUCAGGAGGAACACCGGUGGCGAAGGCGGCCUGCUGGACUGCGACUGACGUUGAGGCCCGAAAGCGUGGGGAGCAAACAGGAUUAGAUACCCCUGUACAU